This is a long non-coding RNA of Austrofundulus limnaeus, 615 nucleotides long. RefSeq lists it as uncharacterized. The transcript has 3 exons. The record is from RefSeq and is a predicted model, not a curated record. Lineage: Eukaryota; Metazoa; Chordata; Actinopteri; Cyprinodontiformes; Rivulidae.
UAAAUACUCAUUACAGAGGACCGGGUAAGCUCUGGGAGAGACCGGGAGAGAAAACAAACAAACCCCACAGGGUGGCUGAGAYGGGCGGUGCGGGGCUGAGGGAGGCCUCUCCCAGAGUAAUUCAAGUUCAAUAACUGACCCUUAACCUUACUCUAACUCGGGUUACACAGUUCUGGUGAGACAGAUUGUAGGCCCAGUUUCCUCACAGCUGUGGAUACUAUACACCUCUACAGGAGCUUUACACACACAGACACAGUACCAAAAACAAAACAACCCCCUCCACAAAAAAAAAAAAAGGUCAGUUGGCAAUAUCAACAAUCACUCUGAGUAUUCUAGCAUAUCAAAUGGCARCGUGGAUGACAGGUUCCCAUUCGGCGCACAUUUUGGGAUGAUGUAAAGAAACCAGGACCACACAGAGCCCCUUUUCAGAGCCAGGAAGCAGAGGACAUCAUUCACCUGCACAACUGCAGCUGGGCCAGUUUCACUCUUUUGCACUAAUGCAGAUCUGGAGCAAUCAAGAAGUUCAAUUGUCUGCAGAGGCUCAGCAGGAAAUGAGUCAAAGGUGCCUUCGCUGUUCGUUCUGAAGGCCUGAGGCAAAUUUCUGGACCCUAGCAA